UGACGGCGGAGCAGCAGGCCGACCCCGCCACCUACGCCGACUGCAUCCACUGGUGUCUCCCGGGCCUUCCGGACACCUGGAACGAGUUCCUGUUCGCCCGCAUCGCUUCACGGCCAUGGCGCACCUAAACACGCAAAACUUGUAAUAAUCAUUAUUACAUCAUUACACAUAAAUAUUCAAUUAAAAUAAAUGAAAAAGAUCUUUGGAAAUUGGAUGAACUUAGAUAUCAAGAAGAGCUGAUGGUUCAUCGAAGCAGGACUAGAACAGGGGAAGGCCUUUGCCGAUCGAUGUUGAAUACAAUAAGAUACUGGCUUUGUCUGCUAGCCAUUAUUGAAGGCAGCUGAUGGUGCUAAGACACGCAGCUGCAUAUUAUUUUGCUGGGUUGGGAGAAACACUUU
This 398-nucleotide long non-coding RNA is filed under the name Musa acuminata (dwarf banana). RNAcentral's name for it is "long non-coding RNA (MACU_LNC006815)". Lineage: Eukaryota; Viridiplantae; Streptophyta; Magnoliopsida; Zingiberales; Musaceae. The record is from RNAcentral.